CUACAAAAUUUUUUUAAAAGCAAAACAGUGAAAUCCAAAUACCUAUUAUUUUCCUUUUAAAAAACCAUGAAAAGCAAACAUGGGUUGUAAAAAUAAAGCAGCGUAUAGCAGAAAACUAGAUUUUUGCAUUCUUAUAAUUUAUUUUUUCACAGUUAUUUUCCUAUACAGUCUGAGGAGGUAGAUUUUUAUUUAAAACACCUGAGCUGUAUUAACCAGAUUUAACAGAAGUGUAUUAAGACAGAGAAGGGAAAGCAUUGUAUAAUCAUAGAUGUGUUCCUGUAUUGCCGGAAAUGGUAUGAGCAAAACAUAAGUAUAUAAAAAUACAUUUUCUUUCAAUGGCAAGAGUACCCUCUCCCCCCUUUAAGUAGUUUUUUAAACAGAUAAAAUAGUUCAUAAUCACACAAAAUUGUUUAAAAUAUAUUUUUAAAAAAAGUAAUGAUAUUUGAACAAUUAGAUUAGUAAAUGUAUUUGCAGGGAAAAGGGCAAUUCUGUAACACAGAUCCUCGUAUCAAUCUGGUAAUCUCCAAAUACAGGACAUUAUCCUUUAUAAGUUUAUUCAGUGAAUGGGUAAUUUUGGAGGGUUGAUCUCCAAGGUGCAAUUUAGAUAAGUGCUUCAAAAGCUGAAAAAUAGAGUGUUACUGGCUUACAUUUUGUAUUUCACUUCAUUGUUUAGCAUAUCAACUUAUAUUUUAUUUUUAAGCAUUUCUUAUUCAGGAGUCCUUUUUGGACUUCAGUGUGCCAAUUCGCAAAGAAGGGUUUUUAAAUGCUAUCCUUGACUACCCAGAAAAUAAAUGAAAAGACCAAAAAUCCCUAAAAUAGAAUUUCAGUGUAUGAAACAAUGCAAAACACCAUGAUAUAAUAGUGGAUUCUUUUCUGCAUAAUGUAGUGGUUUAGGUUGCAACUGGAAUGUUGUUAAGAUAUUAGACAAUCUUUGAUAUUCUACAAUCUAACUAGCACAGUUUUGUGCCAUUUUAGAAUAUCGAACAGAAUAUUUGCACAAUUAAUUUUACAGAUUGUUCCUUAUUAAAAUUGAAAACAAAAAAGUUGAUAAAAUUUAUGAUUUUGUAUCCAAUCAUGGCAAUCCGUAAAUGCACUUUCAAGGUUUUGAUAAAUUCUACAGUCUGAACUAAACCAAGUUGAUGCUUGUCGAGAAAUGUACUAAGGUGGUGUAGGUUGAUCAACUUGUUAUCUUCAAGUCACAGCUUUCGCUCUACAGUGAAAACCUUGCCCCUAUGCUCAAUGAUCCAUAGUUUUGCUGUAUUCUGAGAAAAAAAUCUGCCAGUAUUACAGUUCCAAGAAGGCAUUUGACACCCAUCCAUAUCACAUAUAUGGACUAGCACAGGAUAGGAAUUAUACACCUUUGUACUGACUGGAAUAAAAUGGACAUUGGACAGGUUUUGUUGAAAGCUCUUUGGCUCAUCCCAGUAAUAAAGUUUUGCUCUUUACGGCUUAAUGUAUUAUAUUACAGUACCAUUACAUAAGCAAUCCAGUGUAUUAAUUAUACUGGCCAUGUUAGAAAGGGACAUUAUGCUGAAGGGGCAGACUUUGAUUUAAUCCAAUUUGCAAUAUUUUUUUUUUAUAAUUUACUGGCAGCAAAAUAUCUAAGACACUCUGUUACACAUUGCAAAACAGAAGCCUGUUUUAAUCUAAACCAAUGUAAUCUAUAGAUUUGCUAGCUGAAUAUUAACAUAUAUGGAUAUAAUAAAAAUAAAUGACAUAAUCCACAUUAGGUUCUAGUGAUGCCCAUUUUAUCCCAGAAUGCAUUUCAUUCAGCUACCCAAUGUAUUAUUUAUAUAUGCUUAACUAUACAUUAAUUUAUAGGCAAAAUCAUUUACAUAUUAAAAACAGUUCUUGGUGAACACAGUCCAAUUAAGUCAAUGGUAAAACAUAUGGUUUCCUCAUUUUCUGAAAAUAGAUUCAAAUGUAAAAUACAUUUGUAAUAACAGAAAUAAACCCAUAUUACAAUGUGUUUUUAAACAACCCAGAUAUGGUCCUCAUAACUUUCUUUGGUCGCAAAAUUUCAAUUCAAGUAUUGCUUAUUUGUGAAUUCAAUGUUUAUGUUUCCUUUAAAGGGCCACUAUAGUGCCAGGAAAACAUACCUGUUUUCCUGGCACUAUAGUGCCCUGAGGGUGCCCCGACGGGCUGUAGGGUGAGGAAGGGGUUAAACUUACCUGUUUCUCCAGCGCCGGGCGGGGGACUCUCCUCCUCGGCUGAAUGCGCGGCAAGAGCCACGCGCGCAGCCAGUCUCAUAGGAAAGCAUUCUCAAUGAGUCGGCCACUAGAGGCUGCAUUAACCCUAUUAUAAACAUAGCAGUUUCUCUGAAACUGCCAUGUUUAUAGAAAAAAGGGUUAAACCUAGCUUGACCAGGCACCCAGACCACUUAAUUAAGCUGAAGUGGUCUGGGUGCCUAUAGUGGUCCUUUAAAUUUAAGGUUGCACUAAAAGGGCACCCUAAAUAGGGGUUGCCGUAUAAGAGCACCUGUGUAUAUGACUGUUCUACAGGAACAAACAAGUUUAUGGUGUGCUUUUUGCAUCCAACUGGAAACUGUGUUCAAAUGGGUCACUGUAAUCAGACAAUAUAAAGGAGAAAAAAAUGAAGUUUUAUAUUAUUAGGCACAGUACAUACUGUAAUAAAAUACAUUUUAGAUCCUGAUUGACUGAAUGCUUUAUUACCACGCUGAAACGCUCUCUUUCUAAACACAAGUCAUAUAUCUCAUUACUUAAAGGGACACUUUAUUCAUCAGAACAACUACAGCUUAUUGUAUUUGUUCUGGUGAGCAUAAUCAUUCCCUGCAGUCUUUUUGCAGUAAACACUGUUUUAAAUGCAGUGUUUACAUUACAGCCUAGGGAUACCUCCACUGCCCCUACAGGUGCUUUACGGUCACCCUCUGCAUGGAGACACUGAACUUUCCUCAUAGAGGUGCAUUUCUAUGAGGAGAUGAAGGCUGGCUCUGCCCCUGACCUGCCUUCUUGACAAUCUCAGCCAAUCCAAUGCUUACCUAUCGGAACAUUGUGACUGGCUCAGAACACCACUUGUGAUGAUAUCAGCCAAGGAGACAGAACAGGGGCAGCAGCAAACUGGAAUAAAGGUAAGAUUUUACUAUAUUUAUGGGGGAAGGGCAGAUGGUGUUUAUAACCAAUAUAGGAUCAGGAAUACUGACCCUAUAUUGUUCCUUUAACCCCUUAAGGACCAAACUUCUGGAAUAAAAGGGAAUCAUGACAUGUCAUGUGUCCUUAAGGGGUUAAAGGAGUUAUCCAACCAAAAAAACAAUGUUUUAAGAAAACACUUGUUUUGGUCAAAGUAAGCCCUCCUGGUCUCCCUCAUACGUAAAAUAAAAUACAGCUCUAAAAGUAGUUUUUGUCGCAGAUCAGGUACGCACUACACAUGAUAAUUUGGGAAAAGUGGAAAACAAUGAAAAUACUAUGAAUAGUGAUGUCCCGAACUAUUUUUAAGAUAAUGAUCCUUUUAUCAACUUUUGAAAGGUAAUAAAUUAUUUGUUAAAGUAUAUGUAAAAAAACCAAAAACCUCAUCCCUACCUUGUAGACGGGAUCCUUCAUGUAUAUGCAAAUCAUGAGAAAUUCAUCCCUACCUUUAGUAUGUGACAGGAUCCUUCAGCCAUAUACACACACACCUUGGCUCAGACAGUGUUUGAAUGUGACUGUUAGUCAAUGUUAUGAUGUUACUGCCCAGUACAUUGAGUGCAGCAGGGACACCAGAGACUAUAUAGAGGUUUUAAAACACGGUCUGACCCAAGGUGUAUGUAUAUUGGCGGAGGAUCCUGUCACAUACUUAAGGUAGGGAUACAUUUCUCAUGAUUUGCAUAUACUUCAAGGAACAAAUCUUGAUGAAAGGAUCAUUAUAUUAAAAUAUAGUGCUGAGGUGACAGUUCUCCUUUAAGGUUUAGAAUCAAAGAAAAAGGAAAAAAACAAACAAAAGCGCUUGAAGUAUGAAUCACUUUGCACUUACAGAAAGGGGUAAUGGCAGUGGUUAUUAUAGUUCUAUAAAAAAAAAUUACAAUUAAAACAGAAAAAUUGUAAAAGUAAAAGGUAAAAAAAUAAAUAAAUUGUUAAUUCACUUUUUCUUAUACGGUGGCAGAAAAUUAUUUACCACAUUCUGAUUUUGCCCAAAGAAAAUGCUACAUUAGAGAGAUUGAACUAAAUUAAAACUUAAUAAUUACAGAUUUGUCAUGCUUUUUAAGUGGGAAGACAAAGAGAAAAUUAACUGUUGUGCAUUCUUUUUUGCAGGAAAAGGUGCACUUUGGGAUUUUUCAACGCAUUGUAGCCCUUUUUAAGUACAUAUAAAGGUUUUAAUAAAACCUUUCGCCCUGUAUAACACUAUUGCAAAAAGUAUUGUUUUACUAGUAUAACAAGGUAUACAAAAAAAGUAGACCAACCAUAUGUGUUGGACGAGGAUAUGAUGUGCAUAGCUUCCCUAUAGCAGUUAAAUAAAAAGUCCACAAGCAGUAAAUGAUGCCCUUUUCAAUACAGCACUAGCACACAAGGAUAAAGAAAGGCUCAAGUGGGCUUUUGUAUGGUAUCACUAAAACAUAGGAACGCCAGAUAUUUCAACAGUUACUGAAAAUACUAAAAAAGCAAUUAGACAGAAAGAGGUCUUUCUCUGGGAAGCCAGAACAAAAAUGCUGUGGUUUACUUUUAGCAAAUGAAAUUGCACCAUAUGGCCUCAAAAGGGGAACGGUCAAUUAUCUGGAAAUUACAUCACUGAAAAAACAGUUAAACAAACACUUGGCACCGUACCAUUUUGACUGUUUGAAAUAGUUAUGGUGGUUGGAGUCUGUGGGGGCCAAGUCCAGCAUCACUGCUAAACACUUUACUCAUCGUUUAGCAAAGAUGCUUGGUACCUGGAUAGUCCGAAGCUCAGCCUCCAAUUACUACAUCAGGAAUUGAAGCAGUGAUUGGCUGUGUCACCCUAUCAUUACCCACUAACUGUGGAAUGGCAUGAAACCGAGCAUAGCCCCACAUUUGCCAUUUCAACAUUGGAGGCCAAGCUGCAGGAAGUAAUCUGUGAAAUUGGGAGUAAACCUUUUAAUGGUAAUGCGGGCACCAGCGUCUAAGGACGUCAGGCACCAUAACCACUUUAAUCAAUUGAUGUCUACAGUGACCCUUUAAAGAAAGCAGCACAUGAACAUAAUAAAUUAACACAAGUUAUAGAUUACUUCCAGUGUAUACUGAAGAUUUGUGAUUUAAGACUUGUGACAUCACAAUCCAUGCACAGCAAAGAUACUUAUUGUUUUGGAGUAGAGCUCAUAACGAUGACUGACAGGGUGCAAAGUUGAAGGGAGACAGUGUAGAUUUCUACCUUUUAUUUGAUUUCUUCAGACCUCAUAAGUAUGUGUUCGUUAAAUUACAGAAAUAUGUAUAACAUAGUAUUAAAAUACUAGAAAUGGAUCGUUCCCUUUUAUUACAUAAAAUUGGAAUAAACUAUUAAACAUUACAAUGUAAUACUGGUGACUGUCAACAAAAGAGGCCUAACUUUUGGAAUACAGAUUCUUGAAGGACUGAUUCCUGUGAUGUUCAGCAAAGGGAAUGUAAUCCACAAUAGCCUAUGAACCAGAGGUCUUAAACUACUUGCCUAUGGACAUUUGCAGACCCUUUCUGCAGAGUAGCAUCUCAAUAGUCAGACAGUUGUUGAGACAUUUAAACAGCUGCCAGUAGGCUGGUGUGCUACUGGACAGCUUGGCAAAUGUGGCUGCUUUCCAGAUAAUGUAGCAUGGCUUAAAGGAUCCAGUACACAAAGCUGUGUGUGCAGUGCGAGUAAACAUAAUGGCAUAUCAUAUUCCUACUCCCCAUUUACACACCAUGUGCCAUAUUCUCAGUGGACAAGUCCGGUCACAAGCACCCGCAACACUCAUCACUCUGUUGGUCAUGCUAGAAUUUGGGUAUUUUCCAUGAGUGCCUGUAUCAGUGAGUUUGUGGGAUUUUGUACAUUUUUUGUGAGUGCUUAUGUGUGUAUCUGUCAGUGUGGUUCUAUGUGUGUGUGACGGAGUACAAACUGUGUCUAAGUGGGCGUGGGGGGGGAAUAAACUGCUAUUAUGUGAGAUGAUGUGUUGGCCAGUGAAAUGGAGUUUGAGACCCCAGUUUUAAAUUAAAGGAGAUUAACUAGUCUACAAUAAUGUGGAUCUGCCUUUACAAAUGAAAUCCUUCAUGUUACUGAGGUGGUGUUUUUUUUUUGGUUGUUUCUGAGGUCUUACUUCUGAACAUUAUGAGAUUUUAUGCUUUUAUAUGAUGGUUACCUACAACGAAUUGAAUCUAUACAUCUCUAUGGGGAACGUUCAGUGUCUCUAUGAAAAGUGUGGAGACACUAAAUGUAGGUGCUUCACACUAUUCAACACUGACACAGGAAGCACCUCUAGUGGCAGUCUGAAUGACUGCCAAUAGAGGUAUUACCAGACAACUGGGUUCUUUGAAAAGGCUGCAGGGACAGGCUAUAGACACCAGAACUGCUACAUUACACUGUAGUUGUUCUAGUGAUUAUAGUGUCCUUUUAAGAUCAUUAAUGACAGUUAACUGGAGACUAAUUGGACAUUGACAUCUGAUUUAAUAUCUAAGGCUACAGUCACUGCUGGGUUUACCCAAAGAGCCAGACUAAAUGACCCCAAGCUUAGUGUAGCCUCUCCUGCAGCAAAAGAAAAAAAAUACUAGCUGCAAAGUAACACGUGUAUAUAAAGGUACGCCAGAAGAUUACCUUUAAUAUGUGCCAUACUAUUUUAUAACCUUCUGAAUAAUGUUAAUUGUAAACUACCGCAUAGCAGUAUUUUAAAGUUGGAAGAAGAAGAAAAAUAAAAUAAAAUAUAUAUAUAUUUUUUUCUCUCAAUAUGACAUGUAAUAUAGCCACUGUGUAUUAUUUUGUAAAUCGAACCACCUGGCUUGUCCUUGCAUUGUGGACCACUUAUAUGACUGAAAACUGUGCACAAUAAACAGCGGAAAUCAACUCCAAUUGAGUCUUUGCGAUGCCUGGGGCUGCCUGGUAUAUAAAGUUUGGAUUUUUGAAUCCAGUCUCUUGGUUUCCAGCAAGGUAUUUAGUCAGAUCUAAGCCAGGAAAUGCACCAAAAAUAGAUAUUUAUUUCUAUGUAAGUAGUGCAAAAUAAUAAAUACAGAAGCUAUAAUACAUGCAUUCUUUAUUUCUUUUAAAUAAUUAAAAAUGAUGACAGUUUUCCUUUAAAUGUGGUCUGUGUUAAGCUAGGUCAUACAUUAAGAGACAAUCUUAGGUCACAAAAAAUGGUCUGUAAGGAUCCUAUAUCAAAAUGGAAUGUACAACUCAUUUAUAGGCAGCACAGCUGCAAACAGCUCUCAUCUGAUCUCAUCCAUGCUUGCAUGAGGUGCAGAUUGCAAUGGCAGCAUUACAUAAUAAUUUUCAAUAAAAGCAAUAACAGUGCAGUUAAUUGGUACCCUGUACUUAUUUUCUUAACAAUUCUGAAACAAUUUUAUCUAUGAAAAAACUAAGCCGAAAAAAAUCAUAAAAUCGACAGCCAGCUAAACUGAUUAUUGGAGGAACAUGUAAUAACAUGUGAAAGCCUGAAUUGGAAAAUGUCCUGUUCUAGGUAUGUAAAAUGAAGGUACAUUUUCAGUGGUCUCACACAAAUCCUCUGCACAGCACAAAUGGCAAUAUGAAAGCAUUAAAGAUUUUUUUUAUUGGGUAUUCUAAUUUAUGUUUUGUUUCCCUUUUCAAAAACAGGGUAAAUAUGAUGCCCUCAAUGGAAUUCAAUCAGUUGCCUUAGGUGGUCUAUUGCAAUCCAGCUCAGGUGGGCAGGAUGUUUGUGGUCCCUGAAAAUGUCUUCAUACAAAUAGAUUGGCAAUGCUUGUAAACCCUUACUAUGAAGGUCAUCAAAACGCUAUACUAACAGGGACAAAAACGAAAUGUGUUAAAAUAAACAAAAAGAAUAUGCUGUGAAAUAUGUUGCACUCAGCAGCAUUUGUCAACCUUUGGUAUAUAAACCAGUUGUGAUACAUUUGAUGAGCUAAACGUAGGUUUCAAAAUUUUUACUUACAAGAUAUGAAAUAAAAGCUGCUUUAGUCAGCUGGAAAAUGUUUAUUUAUAUAUAU
RNAcentral lists this long non-coding RNA (8060 nucleotides) under Pelobates cultripes (western spadefoot toad). The record is from RNAcentral. Lineage: Eukaryota; Metazoa; Chordata; Amphibia; Anura; Pelobatidae.